GAUGAACGCUAGCGGCAGGCCUAACACAUGCAAGUCGAGGGGUAAGGCUUUCUUCGGAGAGUACACGACCGGCGCACGGGUGAGUAACGCGUAUGCAACCUGCCUCUUACAGGGAGAUAACCCGGGGAAACUCGGACUAAUAUCCCAUAGGUUUAUGAUAUCGCAUGGUAUCAUACAUAAAGCUCCGGCGGUAAGAGAUGGGCAUGCGUGACAUUAGUUAGUUGGUGAGGUAACGGCUCACCAAGACUACGAUGUCUAGGGGGUCUGAAAGGAUGGUCCCCCACACUGGUACUGAGACACGGACCAGACUCCUACGGGAGGCAGCAGUGAGGGAUAUUGGUCAAUGGAGGCAACUCUGAACCAGCCAUGCCGCGUGAAGGAUGAAUGUCCUAUGGAUUGUGAGCUUCUUUUCUUUGCCAAGAAUUAUCAAUACGUGUAUUGGUUUGACUAGCUUAGGAAUAAGCAUCGGCUAACUCCGUGCCAGCAGCCGCGGUAAUACGGAGGAUGCAAGCGUUAUCCGGAUUCACUAGGUUUAAAGGGUGCGCAGGCGGAAUAAUAAGUCAGUGGUGAAAUCUUGCGGCUUAACCGUAAAAUAGCCAUUGAUACUGUUAUUCUUGAGUUCGGUGAGGUAGGCGGAAUGAGUAAUGUAGCGGUGAAAUGCUUAGAUAUUACUCAGAACACCGAUUGCGAAGGCAGCUUACUAAGCCGUUACUGACGCUGAGUCACGAAAGCGUGGGGAGCGAACAGGAUUAGAUACCCUGGUAGUCCACGCCGUAAACGUUGAUUACUCGUUGUUGGCGAUACACAGUCAGCGACUGAGCGAAAGCAUUAAGUAAUCCACCUGGGGAGUACGUCAGCAAUGAUGAAACUCAAAGGAAUUGACGGGGGCCCGCACAAGCGGAGGAACAUGUGGUUUAAUUCGAUGAUACGCGAGGAACCUUACCUGGGCUUAAAUGUAGAGUGCAUUAUUUGGAAACAGAUAUUUCCUUCGGGACUCUUUACAAGGUGCUGCAUGGUUGUCGUCAGCUCGUGCCGUGAGGUGUCGGGUUAAGUCCCAUAACGAGCGCAACCCUCAUCGUUAGUUGCCAUCAGUUCGGCUGGGGACUCUAACGAAACUGCCGGUGCAAACCGUGAGGAAGGUGAGGAUGACGUCAAAUCAGCACGGCCCUUAUGUCCAGGGCUACACACGUGUUACAAUGGUCAGUACAGUGGGCAGCUACUUGGUGACAAGGUGCUAAUCUCCAAAACUGAUCCUAGUUCGGAUCGGAGUCUGCAACUCGACUCCGUGAAGCUGGAUUCGCUAGUAAUCGCACAUCAGCCAUGGUGCGGUGAAUACGUUCCCGGGCCU
Molecule: ribosomal RNA, 1348 nt
Filed under: uncultured bacterium
Lineage: Bacteria
Description: bacterial SSU rRNA
Rfam family: Bacterial small subunit ribosomal RNA
Source: RNAcentral